Leopardus geoffroyi (Geoffroy's cat) is the source of this 291-nucleotide long non-coding RNA. RefSeq lists it as uncharacterized. Lineage: Eukaryota; Metazoa; Chordata; Mammalia; Carnivora; Felidae. The record is from RefSeq and is a predicted model, not a curated record. The transcript is spliced from 2 exons.
UUCUUUGUCCCCAUCUUUGGACCCUAGUCACCAAUUCUGGGCAAAAAUAAAGAUUCAACUCAGUAUCUUCUACAAUAUGCUGAAAUGAACCAAAGCUUAUAUGAAAAAAAGCAGCUCAGCUGCAUUCCAAAAAGAGGAGGCAAGGUCAUCUUCUGAGCGAAAGAACCAGCAAUUAAAAGUCUAGGUGGAAUAAAGAAGACAGAAUCAGACUGUGGAUAGAACAUCAGAUAAAAGCCAUGGAUAAUUUCUCCCCGGUUAAAAAAAAAAAAAGGGCACAUACACAUAUUUCAC